This 450-nucleotide ribosomal RNA is filed under the name uncultured bacterium. RNAcentral's name for it is "partial 16S ribosomal RNA". It matches the Rfam family "Bacterial small subunit ribosomal RNA", at positions 354 to 796 of the family's 1533-position model. The record is from RNAcentral.
GUGGGGAAUCUUCCGCAAUGGACGAAAGUCUGACGGAGCAACGCCGCGUGAGUGAUGAAGGUCUUCGGAUUGUAAAGCUCUGUUAAUCGGGACGAAAGAGCCUAGUGUGAAUAAUGCUAGGAAGUGACGGUACCGGAAUAGAAAGCCACGGCUAACUACGUGCCAGCAGCCGCGGUAAUACGUAGGUGGCAAGCGUUGUCCGGAAUUAUUGGGCGUAAAGCGCGCGCAGGCGGAUCUGCCAGUCUGUCUUAAAAGUUCGGGGCUUAACCCCGUGAUGGAAUGGAAACUACAGAUCUAGAGUAUCGGAGAGGAAAGUGGAAUUCCUAGUGUAGCGGUGAAAUGCGUAGAUAUUAGGAAGAACACCAGUGGCGAAGGCGACUUUCUGGACGAAAACUGACGCUGAGGCGCGAAAGCCAGGGGAGCGAACGGGAUUAGAAACCCGGGUAGUCC